GUGGGGAAUCUUAGACAAUGGGGGCAACCCUGAUCUAGCCAUGCCGCGUGAGUGAUGAAGGCCUUAGGGUCGUAAAGCUCUUUCGCCGGGGAAGAUAAUGACGGUACCCGGUAAAGAAACCCCGGCUAACUCCGUGCCAGCAGCCGCGGUAAUACGGAGGGGGUUAGCGUUGUUCGGAAUUACUGGGCGUAAAGCGCGCGUAGGCGGAUCGGAAAGUUGGGGGUGAAAUCCCGGGGCUCAACCCCGGAAUUGCCUUCAAAACUCCCGGUCUUGAGGUCGAGAGAGGUGAGUGGAAUUCCGAGUGUAGAGGUGAAAUUCGUAGAUAUUCGGAGGAACACCAGUGGCGAAGGCGGCUCACUGGCUCGAUACUGACGCUGAGGUGCGAAAGCGUGGGGAGCAAACAGGAUUAGAUACCCCGGUAGUCC
Molecule: ribosomal RNA, 425 nt
Filed under: uncultured bacterium
Lineage: Bacteria
Description: partial 16S ribosomal RNA
Rfam family: Bacterial small subunit ribosomal RNA
Source: RNAcentral